RNAcentral lists this non-coding RNA (48 nucleotides) under Trichobilharzia regenti. The record is from RNAcentral. Lineage: Eukaryota; Metazoa; Platyhelminthes; Trematoda; Strigeidida; Schistosomatidae.
AUCCAGCUGACGAGUCCCAAUUAGGACGAAAUGCGCAUUUUUCUGGAU